Molecule: ribosomal RNA, 457 nt
Filed under: uncultured bacterium
Lineage: Bacteria
Description: bacterial SSU rRNA
Rfam family: Bacterial small subunit ribosomal RNA
Source: RNAcentral
UACGGAAGGCAACAGUGGGGAAUAUUGCACAAUGGGCGAAAGCCUGAUGCAGCUAUGCCGCGUGUAUGAAGAAGGCCUUAGGGUUGUAAAGUACUUUCAUCGGGGAGGAAAAAACAAAACUAAUAAUUUUAUUUCUUGACGUUACCCGAAAAAGAAGCACCGGCUAACUCCGUGCCAGCAGCCGCGGUAAUACGGAGGGUGCUAGCGUUAAUCAGAAUUACUGGGCGUAAAGAGCACGUAGGUGGUUUUUUUAAGUCAGAUGUGAAAUCCCUGGGCUUAACCUAGGAACUGCAUUUUGAAACUGAAAUACUAGAGUAUCGUAGAGGGAGGUAGAAUUCUAGGUGUAGCGGUGAAAUGCGUAGAUAUCUGGAGGAAUACCUGUGGCGAAAGCGGCCUCCUAAACGAAUACUGACACUGAGGGUGCGAAAGCGUGGGGAGCAAACAGGGAUUAGAUACC